CGCCUCUUGCAAAAUAUAAGAGGUCCAGCCUGCCCAGUGACUCUGUUCAACGGCCGCGGUAUCCUAACCGUGCGAAGGUAGCGUAAUCACUUGUUCUUUAAAUGUGGACUAGUAUGAAUGGCACCACGAGGGUUAUACUGUCUCCUUUCUCUAAUCAGUGAAACUGAUCUCCCCGUGAAGAAGCGGGGAUACACCUAUAAGACGAGAAGACCCUAUGGAGCUUUAAACAAAAUAGCACUUGCCCUACAACACAAAAAUUCCUGAAUCACUAAUACACCUGGCAAUAUGACUAUAAGUUUUUGGUUGGGGUGACCACGGAGUACAACACAACCUCCGUAUUGAAAGAAUACUAUUCUAAGCUAAGAACUACGAAUCUAAGCAUCAAAACACUGACAUCUAUUGACCCAAUACAAUUGAACAACGAACCAAGUUACCCUAGGGAUAACAGCGCAAUCCACUUCGAGAGCUCCUAUCGACAAGUGGGUUUACGACCUCGAUGUUGGAUCAGGGUCUCCCAGUGGUGCAGCCGCUACUAAUGGUUCGUUUGUUCAACGAUUAAAACCCU
This 565-nucleotide ribosomal RNA is filed under the name Phrynoidis asper (giant Asian toad). RNAcentral describes it as "partial 16S ribosomal RNA". It matches the Rfam family "Bacterial large subunit ribosomal RNA", at positions 1817 to 2597 of the family's 2925-position model. Lineage: Eukaryota; Metazoa; Chordata; Amphibia; Anura; Bufonidae. The record is from RNAcentral.